CCUGCAGCCCCUACCUAAGCUUGUGACGGCUGCAUUGAUCGGCAAAAAUGGAAUCUGCAGCUAGCUGCCAAAACCAACAUUAUGGGCUUUUCCAGUGCACUCUCAUCAUAAGUGAAAGCUGAACUGGUUGAAUGCCCAGCUUGACUUCCAGUCUUUAUGCCCACUGGGAAUAGCAGGCAGGAGAGUGGAAGACAAGAAACGCAUAUCUUUGUGCUCACAUUCUCUGCACUUUAAAUAGAGGGACAAGAGCAUACUUCAACGUAGUUGUUCAGGCUGAGCUCUCCUUGAUGCACAUCUAACUCUAUAAUGAAGAUUCUGCCGGUGCCUAGGACGGCUCCCUGCAAUGCAGUAUCAGACACAUGCAUUAAGAAAGGAAACAAGACAGAAAACUGGACACUGUAGUAAAAAGCCACCAAUGAAGCAUCAGAAAUACAGAAGUAUCAAGUAGGACCUGCUAGCAUGAACUCUGCAAAAAGGAAGUAGGAAGAAUGUUUUUAUUUCUAGUGAACAGAAAGGGGAAUUUAUUUUACCUAAUAAAAACAAUGAUGUGACAAUAUGAAUAUAAGCACUGUAUAAGGAACACACCCAGUCUACAAAGAAAAAGAAAAUUCCACUAGUGGGGGAAGAAAGAAGAAUGUAUCUAUAUACACCAGCAUCAGAUUCUUCAUUAUCUACAAUGGGUCAGAAACAAAAAGAGGGUCAUCUGUGCUCCCUAUGAAAUCACAGGUCAAAUUUAACCUGUUGUGAUGCUAAUUUGGGAUAAGGACUAGAUUGACGACUGGAGACGCCCUCUUAACACGCUUGGCUUGUUACUUUGCCUGAUGGGAUAAGGGAGCUAAGGGAAAGACUUUCUUUCCCAUGGUUAUAAAUAUUCAGUGUACUGCUUGUGUUACAGGGGAACAGGGGCAUGGU
This is a long non-coding RNA of Xenopus laevis (African clawed frog), 912 nucleotides long. RefSeq lists it as uncharacterized. The transcript is spliced from 3 exons. NCBI's taxonomy places the organism in Eukaryota, Metazoa, Chordata, Amphibia, Anura, Pipidae. The record is from RefSeq and is a predicted model, not a curated record.